AACGUGUAUAACGUGUCAUUGGCAGCCGUUAUCUUAUUGGUCGUUCUAUUAACCCAUGAAACAAACAAGGCCUACCGUGCUCGUAUAACAUCGCGGUAUACAUCAUCAAUGGACUGCUUCCAAUAAACUAUAGCAGCAGUUUCUGCCAAGUCAUUAAUCAUUCAGAAGACGGUGCCAAAGAGAGUAAUAUCGAAUAGUACGGAAACUGAAAUCCCUUUGGACUAAUCGUUUAAAAGUUUCUUCCAACACAAAAUUCCUACAUGAAUAAUUCAAAGAAAGAGGAUUAUUGCAAAGAAAAAUUUUAAUUCAAAAACACUGGAAAACACUGGUUUGCUCUAUUUCUAUCACCAUUAAUUAAACCAGGAAUAGGACGGAAGCAGACUCAUGCGAAGAUGUAAAUUCAGGAAGCUCGACUAAGCUACAGCUUGUUAAACUGGUUACCGAGAUGGGCAUAAGAGGCAAGAAGCUGUGAACAAGAGCUACAUCAAGAAUUUUGCACCAUAUUUAGAGUUCUUACUUUUUUUUCUAAUAGCUUUUUCAAAAGUGCUCAAACAUACUCUGCAGACACGUGCGAGGUGUUCUCUAUUGAUAUAGUCAAGUACGUGAGAGUUUCUAGGAAAUUACAUGUCAAGCGUCACUCUGUCGAUGUGUCUAUAAGUUCAAGCUCCACGAACGUUUACAACAUGUGUCAUGCAAUCUCUCUAUCGUCGUGCUUUUCAAGUGGACACACAUACAUACACAGAGAAGAAAAGAUGGCAUGGAGGUGCGCAUUCACGUCGUGGGUGGUGUGAAUUGACAAGAACAUUACUCGGGCAAAAUUUUCCCCAUCGAUGGUGUUGCAGAUUUUACUGUAAUCACGUUUUCGCUAUAUAAUUAUUGCACAAAGUGGAUAUGAAUAUCGGCAAAAGUUGUUCGCCGAGACACUCGACCUAUCUUCAACAAUUAAAGCAUUGCGAAACAAGCUGCUUUAUGCGUCUAUGAUUUUCCUUUAAUAUAAAAUAUAGCAAAUUAUUUCUAUCAAUAGUUAGACACGAAAGUGAUUUGAAAAUGUCAAAAAUAAUUGAAUUUGUCAUUUAUUUAUUGUGUUAUUAUUGAUGUAUGAAGAUUGGAUAAUUAUUUAUAAAAAAGUACCACCUUCUUGAUGAUUGAUAAAUUUUUAAUAUAUUAUGAAGUUCAUCAUGUUGAAUAAUGUUGUGAAGAUUU
Long non-coding RNA from Apis laboriosa (Himalayan honeybee), 1203 nucleotides. RefSeq lists it as uncharacterized. The record is from RefSeq and is a predicted model, not a curated record. The transcript is spliced from 3 exons. Lineage: Eukaryota; Metazoa; Arthropoda; Insecta; Hymenoptera; Apidae.